UCAAACUUGGUCAUUUAGAGGAAGUAAAAGUCGUAACAAGGUUUCCGUAGGUGAACCUGCGGAAGGAUCAUUACAGAGAAACUUGCCCCUUGAGGGUAGAUCUCCCACCCUUUGUUUACAAUACCUCUGUUGCUUUGGCAGGUCCGUCUUCUGACCACCGGCUUCGGCUGGUCCGCACCUGCCAGAGGACCCUCCAACUCUUCUGAUUUUAUGUUGUCAGAGAUUAUAUAACAAUAGUUAAAACUUUCAACAACGGAUCUCUUGGUUCUGGCAUCGAUGAAGAACGCAGC
RNAcentral lists this unclassified non-coding RNA (290 nucleotides) under uncultured fungus. RNAcentral's name for it is "partial contains small subunit ribosomal RNA, internal transcribed spacer 1, and 5.8S ribosomal RNA". The stretch from base 1 to 73 matches the Rfam family "Eukaryotic small subunit ribosomal RNA", at positions 1759 to 1831 of the family's 1831-position model. Lineage: Eukaryota; Fungi. The record is from RNAcentral.